Molecule: unclassified non-coding RNA, 647 nt
Filed under: Rubus tephrodes
Lineage: Eukaryota; Viridiplantae; Streptophyta; Magnoliopsida; Rosales; Rosaceae
Description: partial contains internal transcribed spacer 1, 5.8S ribosomal RNA, and internal transcribed spacer 2
Source: RNAcentral
GCGGAGGAUCAUUGUCGAAACCUGCCCAGCAGAACGACCCGAGAACAUGUUUCAACGCUUGGGGGCGAAGGGUCCUAGGGCUCCUCGUCCCUUUUCUCGGGAGGCAAUCGUCUCGUGUGCUGCAUCUCGUUGCUCGCACUAGAUAGACCCUCUCGGGCGUACAAACGAACACCGGCGUGUAUUGCGCCAAGGAACUUGAAUGAAAGAGCGUUCCCCCGUCGUCCCGGAAACGGUGUGCGUGCGGUUGGUUACGUCAUCUUCAAUAUGUCUAAACGACUCUCGGCAACGGAUAUCUCGGCUCUCGCAUCGAUGAAGAACGUAGCGAAAUGCGAUACUUGGUGUGAAUUGCAGAAUCCCGUGAACCAUCKAGUCUUUGAACGCAAGUUGCGCCCGAAGCCAUUAGGCCGAGGGCACGCCUGCCUGGGCGUCACACGUCGUUGCCCCCCCAAACCCCCUCGGGAGUUGGGCGGGACGGAUGAUGGCCUCCCGUGUGCUCCGUCAUGCGGUUGGCAUAAAAAACAAGUCCUCGGCGACUAACGCCACGACAAUCGGUGGUUGUCAAACCUCUGUUGCCUAUCGUGUGCGCGUGUCGAACGAGGGCUCAACGAACCAUGCUGCAUUGAUUCGUCGAUGCUUCAACGCGACCC